AAGCUCGUAGUUGAAUUUCGGGGUUAGUAGGUUGGUCAUGCCUCUGGUAUGUACUGGUCUCNCUGAUUCCUCCUUCCUUAUGAACCGUAAUGCCAUUAAUUUGGUGUUGCGGGGAAUUUGGACUGUUACUUUGAAAAAAUUGAGUGUUUAAAGCAAGCUAACGCUUGAAUACAUUAGCAUGGAAUAAUGAAAUAGGACGUUGAUCUUAUUUUGUUGGUUUCUAGGAUUGACGUAAUGAUUAAUAGGGAUAGUUGGG
Molecule: ribosomal RNA, 256 nt
Filed under: uncultured Glomus
Lineage: Eukaryota; Fungi; Glomeromycota; Glomeromycetes; Glomerales; Glomeraceae
Description: partial 18S ribosomal RNA
Rfam family: Eukaryotic small subunit ribosomal RNA
Source: RNAcentral